CAGGCCAGAGCCUGCUCAACUGCUGGCAUAUGCUGUCCAUGCGUCUUACAGGCCGGCUCUGUGUCCCUCACUGGGGGCCAGAGCAGCUUCGUGACCUUCAGGCCAGCUGGAAGCUAGAGUCAUUGUGGCAGGAAACAAGGUUUAUAAACCAUGAUCAUCCUAUCCUUUAAUAUUUAUGAGAGUGAAAACAUCUCUUAAAAUGGCAGCCUACAAUAUGGUGGACAAGAUUCUGGCUCCCGUGGAAACCAGUGUUCACAGAUGAUUUUGAAUAAAAUAGCUUCACACAGCAUCUCAGUUUACAUUAUAAAAUGGAAAAUAACCAAAACUCACAACUGAAAAUUCAUAAGGCAACUUGCCAGCUGUCAACAAUGACCUUCUAGUGCAGACAUGACUUUAAAACACCUGUAAGCAUUAGAAGAUCUUGAAAAGUUAAAUGUCAAAAU
RNAcentral lists this long non-coding RNA (443 nucleotides) under Fukomys damarensis (Damara mole-rat). Its description in RNAcentral is "lncRNA (ENSFDAG00000023158.1)". The record is from RNAcentral. Lineage: Eukaryota; Metazoa; Chordata; Mammalia; Rodentia; Bathyergidae.